GAUGAACGCUGGCGGCGUGCCUAAUACAUGCAAGUCGAGCGAACAGACGAGGAGCUUGCUCCUCUGUCGUUAGCGGCGGACGGGUGAGUAACACGUGUAUAACCUACCUAUAAGACGGGGAUAACUUCGGGAAACCGGAGCUAAUACCGGAUAAUAUAUUGAAGCGCAUGGUUCAAUAGUGAAGGACGGUGUUUCUGUCACGUCUAGAUGGAUCCGCGCUGCAUUGGCUGGUUGGUAAGUUAACGGCUUACCAAGGCAACGAUGCGUAGCCGACCUGAGAGGCUGAUCGGCCACAUGGGAACUUAGACGCGGUCCAGACUCCUACGGGAGGGAGCAGUCGGGAAUCUUCCGCAAUGGGCGAAAGCCUGACGGAGCAACGCCGCGUGAGUGAUGAAGGUCUUGGGAUCGUAAAGCUCUGUUAUGAGGGAAGAACCACUGUGUAAGUAACUAUGCACGUCUUGACGGUAACUAAUCAGAAAGCCCCGGCUAACUACGUG
This 497-nucleotide ribosomal RNA is filed under the name uncultured bacterium. Its description in RNAcentral is "partial 16S ribosomal RNA". It matches the Rfam family "Bacterial small subunit ribosomal RNA", at positions 28 to 507 of the family's 1533-position model. The record is from RNAcentral.